Molecule: non-coding RNA, 830 nt
Filed under: Meristogenys kinabaluensis (Kiau Borneo frog)
Lineage: Eukaryota; Metazoa; Chordata; Amphibia; Anura; Ranidae
Description: partial 12S ribosomal RNA
Rfam family: Bacterial small subunit ribosomal RNA
Source: RNAcentral
UUACACAUGCAAGUCUCAGCCCGCCCGUGAGAACACCCUUUCAGCCUUCACCAGGACAAGGAGCUGGUAUCAGGCACACUCCCACUUUGCCCAUAACACCUAGUCUUACCACACCCUCAAGGGUAAUCAGCAGUGAUAAAUCUUGUGCAUAAGCGACAGCUUGACACAGUUAAAGAAAAGAGAGCCGGCUAACCCGGUGCCAGCCGCCGCGGCUACACCGUUGGGGCUCAAGUUGCUAGUUACCGGCGUCAAGCGUGAUUAAAGGCCCCCCCCCCCCAAUUAAAGUUAAAUUAACACUUGGUAGUGACAAGCUUGUUGUUAAGAAAAACAUAAAUGAAAAUUACUCUAAUUUUAUGCCUUGAAUACACGACAACUAGGAACACAAACUGGGAUUAGAUACCCCACUAUGCCUAGUCGUAAACAAUUUAUUUACAUCUCCAACGCCAGGGUAUUACGAGUCAAACUUAAAACCCAAAGGACUUGACGGUGUCCCACCCACCUAGAGGAGCCUGUUCUAUAAUCGAUAAUCCCCGUUUUACCUAACCAUUUUUUGCCUAAUCAGUCUGUAUACCUCCGUCGUAAGCUUACCAUGUGAACGCCUAUAGUAAGCCCAAUGGCCACCCGCCAACACGUCAGGUCAAGGUGCAACUUAUACCAUGGUAAGUAAUGGGCUACAAUUUCUAAGAUAGAACAAACGAAAGGCUGUUUGAAACCCCAGUCACGAAGGAGGAUCUAACAGUAAAAAGAAAAUAGAGAGUUCUUUUUAACCUGGCACUGGGACGCGUACACACCGCCCGUCACCCUCUUCAACAGUCUUUUCUCGAUAACUA